This is a long non-coding RNA of Eurytemora carolleeae, 261 nucleotides long. RefSeq lists it as uncharacterized. The transcript has 3 exons. The record is from RefSeq and is a predicted model, not a curated record. NCBI's taxonomy places the organism in Eukaryota, Metazoa, Arthropoda, Copepoda, Calanoida, Temoridae.
UCUACUUUAAAACUUGUAAAAAUAGGUUAUUUCUGAAUCGAUGAUAUGAGAUAUCUUUGCUUUUUUUCCUGGAUUAGAGAGAUUAAAUAUAAACUGAAGAGAAUAAACUAUGUAUGUCACGUCAAGCUAGAGGGACUGUAAGCGUAAUUUUAAGUUAGAUUGAGUGGGUUGACCUUGAAAGAGUAACUACAGUUUCCAGGCAAAGCUGGGUUCGGAAGCUUGUGAUAUAUAAAAGAGGAAAUUGAAAUGGAAAUUAUGAAG